This 790-nucleotide long non-coding RNA is filed under the name Homo sapiens (human). RNAcentral's name for it is "HSALNT0307890". Lineage: Eukaryota; Metazoa; Chordata; Mammalia; Primates; Hominidae. The record is from RNAcentral.
GCUAGCGAGCGGCAUGCUUAGUGAAGAAAAGCUUAAAGGCCGUCUUUGCCCAAAACGCUCUCUGUGCGCACCUGCAUUUCCCCCAGAUUUGCAGAUGGAGUCUCACUCUGUUGCCAGGCUGGAGUGCAGUGGUGCCAUCUCAGCUCACUACAACCUCCACCUCCGGGGUUCAAGCGAUUCUCCUGCCUCAGCCUUCCGAGUAGCUGGGACUACAGGUGCCUGCCACCAUUCCCAGUUAAUUUUUGUAUUUUUAGUAGAGAUGACAUUUCACUAUGUUGGCCAGGCUGGUUUUGAACUCCUGACCUCGUGAUCCACCUGCCUCAGCUUCCCAAAGUGCUGGGAUUACAGGCAUGAGCCACCACGCCUGGCCCAAAUCCUAUUUUUCAAUAUUUAUUUCCUAAUUAUGUCCUACUAGGUUAGGUUUUAUUUUCAUUUGUUACAUAUUUAUUGGGUUAUUUCCUUUAUGCUAGGAACUUUAUUAGUAUAAGGAUACAGAUAAGGUCCAUUCUCUGUUCUCAAGAAUCUGAGUCUACAGGCAGAAGACAAAAUGCAGUACAGAAUUAUGGAAAUGUGAAUGGAAACUGCAUUCAGAGAGGGGUAUUGCUUGGGAAAAGCCACAUUGGCGUGCCACAGAUGUAUGCCAGCCUGGCAGGCCCAUAGUGUGAUUACUUGAGUUUCAAUAUCUGAUUCUUUUAUAGGCUUGAAAUUGGUUUAUCAGGUCUGGAAGUGACUGGACUCUGGAGUACUGAGUUACCCACCACAAACUGCUAAUAAAAUGCUGUGUAAAAGC